Molecule: ribosomal RNA, 446 nt
Filed under: uncultured bacterium
Lineage: Bacteria
Description: partial 16S ribosomal RNA
Rfam family: Bacterial small subunit ribosomal RNA
Source: RNAcentral
CCUACGGGUGGCAGCAGUCGAGAAUCAUUCACAAUGGGGGAAACCCUGAUGGUGCGACGCCGCGUGGGGGAAUGAAGGUCUUCGGAUUGUAAACCCCUGUCAUGUGGGAGCAAAUUAAAAAGAUAGUACCACAAGAGGAAGAGACGGCUAACUAUGUGCCAGCAGCCGCGGGAAUACAGAGGUAUCAAGCGUUGUUCGGAAUCACUGGGGGUAAAGCGUGCGUAGGGUGUUUCGUAAGUCGUGUGUGAAAGGCGCGGGCUCAACCCGCGGACGGCACAUGAUACUGCGAGACUAGAGUAAUGGAGGGGGAACCGGAAUUCUCGGUGUAGCAGUGAAAUGCGUAGAUAUCGAGAGGAACACUCGUGGCGGAGGCGGGUUCCUGGACAUUAACUGACGCUGAGGCACGAAGGCCAGGGGAGCGAAAGGGAUUAGAUACCCCAGUAGUC